RNAcentral lists this ribosomal RNA (490 nucleotides) under uncultured bacterium. RNAcentral's name for it is "partial 16S ribosomal RNA". It matches the Rfam family "Bacterial small subunit ribosomal RNA", at positions 30 to 507 of the family's 1533-position model. The record is from RNAcentral.
AUUGAACGCUGGCGGCAGGCCUAACACAUGCAAGUCGAACGGUAACAGAAAGCAGCUUGCUGCUUUGCUGACGAGUGGCGGACGGGUGAGUAAUGUCUGGGAAACUGCCUGAUGGAGGGGGAUAACUACUGGAAACGGUAGCUAAUACCGCAUAACGUCGCAAGACCAAAGAGGGGGACCUUCGGGCCUCUUGCCAUCGGAUGUGCCCAGAUGGGAUUAGCUAGUAGGUGGGGUAACGGCUCACCUAGGCGACGAUCCCUAGCUGGUCUGAGAGGAGGACCAGCCACACUGGAACUGAGACACGGUCCAGACUCCUACGGGAGGCAGCAGUGGGGAAUAUUGCACAAUGGGCGCAAGCCUGAUGCAGCCAUGCCGCGUGUAUGAAGAAGGCCUUCGGGUUGUAAAGUACUUUCAGCGGGGAGGAAGGGAGUAAAGUUAAUACCUUUGCUCAUUGACGUUACCCGCAGAAGAAGCACCGGCUAACUCCGUG